CUCCUGGCCGGGCUCUGGCCACGCGAUGGUUUGUGUCUCGGGCAGCAGAGAACUAGUCCUGGUCUAAGCCAAGGUGAACCCGAGGACCAAGGUCCUGGUCCCAUGAGGAGCAGAGCACCUUUCCUGGAGCUCUGUGCCUUCGCUGGAGGAUGGAGGAUUGAGGCCUCGGCGGCUAGCAGGGUCAGGUAUCUAGUGGGUUACAUGCAGACACUGGAAAAGUAGAUUGGCUCUUGGCUGGAUUCAGCUAUAGCCGCCGGCUGAGAAGCCUGGAGGUGUGAUGGGAGGAGGCUGGUUUGGAGAAGCACCCCAUGCUCGGUUGCUUUUCCUCACCUACAAACUAGCUCAAGCUCGAGUCCGCCCACCUGGGCUGGGAUUGGAUGGGAACAGGCCCCCGGGACGAGGGAAAAGGGGGGCCAUUAACCAAGCGUUUUGGACACCUUGAGUUUGAGUUGAAGGUUUGGGUUUAUUGUUGGUUUGCUCUGUGCUGGCUUGUCCACCCCGCAGGCGG
Non-coding RNA from Pelodiscus sinensis (Chinese soft-shelled turtle), 508 nucleotides. NCBI's taxonomy places the organism in Eukaryota, Metazoa, Chordata, Testudines, Trionychidae. The record is from RefSeq and is a predicted model, not a curated record.